GACGAACGCUGGCGGCGUGCCUAACACAUGCAAGUCAAGGAGAAUUCCCGACUUGUCGGGAUAGUAAACUGGCGAACGGGUGAGUAACACGUAGGUAAUCUACCCUCGGGAUCGGGAUAACCUCGCGAAAGUGGGGAUAAUACCGAAUAAAGUCUCGGUAUAAUUUGUCGAGAUGAAAGAAUGGGGAUCUUCGGACCUAUUACCUGAGGAUGAGCCUGCGCCUGAUUAGCUAGUUGGUAGGGUAAAUGCCUACCAAGGCAACGAUCAGUAGCUGGUCUGAGAGGAUGAUCAGCCACAUUCGGGACUGAGAUACGGCCCAGACUCCUACGGGAGGCAGCAGUGAGGAAUUUUGCGCAAUGGGCGAAAGCCUGACGCAGCAACGCCGCGUGACUGAUUAAGCUCUGAGGAGUGUAAAAGUCUGUCGUAGAGGAAGAAACUAUCCGAUAAGAAUAUUGUCGGAUACUGACGGUACUCUAAUGAGAAAGCUCCGGCUAA
Molecule: ribosomal RNA, 495 nt
Filed under: uncultured bacterium
Lineage: Bacteria
Description: bacterial SSU rRNA
Rfam family: Bacterial small subunit ribosomal RNA
Source: RNAcentral